CACUGCACAAAUGAACACGCCGAUGGCCAUUUAGCACCUGCUCUACGAGAAUUAGCGGUAAUGAAGAUGAUGAUGAUAAAACCCUGAGUGGUGAGGAAAGAAGUGGACACCUGCCCAGCCAGCCAGAUGAGGCAUCCUGAGAACGUUGAGGCACAUGGCUGCGGAGCUAGUCACCGGCCCACAACUGCCGGAGGAAAAUGCCGCAGGGACAUCCAGGAAGCUAGAGCCACUGCUUCCUGCCAGCGAGGCCCACCAGCAGAUGGACGACACAUCUGAGCAUCGAUGGCUGUCCCCUCCUCUGCCCACCUGCUUCUGAGGACCUCCUGCACCUUACCUCAGCUGGCACAACUCUCUUACUUCUAGUGUGGCCUGAGGGCCUGUGUUUUGACUCAUGCCAAGACAAAUGUGGUGCAAUCUGUAGGUUAAAGUCCAGAGCUCCCGGCCACCCCAGUGCAGCUUUCUUCAGUGAGGUUUGCAACCACCUGGCCAGUGAGAUAGAUUGGG
This is a long non-coding RNA of Psammomys obesus (fat sand rat), 504 nucleotides long. RefSeq lists it as uncharacterized. The transcript is spliced from 3 exons. Lineage: Eukaryota; Metazoa; Chordata; Mammalia; Rodentia; Muridae. The record is from RefSeq and is a predicted model, not a curated record.